GACGAACGCUGGCGGCGUGCUUAACACAUGCAAGUCGAACGAAGAGCGAUGGAAGCUUGCUUCUAUCAAUCUUAGUGGCGAACGGGUGAGUAACGCGUAAUCAACCUGCCCUUCAGAGGGGGACAACAGUUGGAAACGACUGCUAAUACCGCAUACGAUCUAAUCUCGGCAUCGAGGAUAGAUGAAAGGUGGCCUCUACAUGUAAGCUAUCACUGAAGGAGGGGAUUGCGUCUGAUUAGCUAGUUGGAGGGGUAACGGCCCACCAAGGCGAUGAUCAGUAGCCGGUCUGAGAGGAUGAACGGCCACAUUGGGACUGAGACACGGCCCAGACUCCUACGGGAGGCAGCAGUGGGGAAUCUUCCGCAAUGGACGAAAGUCUGACGGAGCAACGCCGCGUGAGUGACGACGGCCUUCGGGUUGUAAAGCUCUGUUAAUCGGGACGAAAGGCCUUCUUGCGAAUAGUGAGAAGGAUUGACG
RNAcentral lists this ribosomal RNA (477 nucleotides) under Veillonella parvula. Its description in RNAcentral is "bacterial SSU rRNA". It matches the Rfam family "Bacterial small subunit ribosomal RNA", at positions 28 to 474 of the family's 1533-position model. Lineage: Bacteria; Bacillati; Bacillota; Negativicutes; Veillonellales; Veillonellaceae. The record is from RNAcentral.